UUGAACGCUGGCGGCAGGCCUCACACAUGCAAGUCGAGCGGAUGAAGGGAGCUUGCUCCUGGAUUCAGCGGCGGACGGGUGAGUAAUGCCUAGGAAUCUGCCUGGUAGUGGGGGAUAACGUCCGGAAACGGGCGCUAAUACCGCAUACGUCCUGAGGGAGAAAGUGGGGGAUCUUCGGACCUCACGCUAUCAGAUGAGCCUAGGUCGGAUUAGCUAGUUGGUGGGGUAAAGGCCUACCAAGGCGACGAUCCGUAACUGGUCUGAGAGGAUGAUCAGUCACACUGGAACUGAGACACGGUCCAGACUCCUACGGGAGGCAGCAGUGGGGAAUAUUGGACAAUGGGCGAAAGCCUGAUCCAGCCAUGCCGCGUGUGUGUAGAAGGUCUUCGGAUUGUAAAGCACUUUAAGUUGGGAGGAAGGGCAGUAAGUUAAUACCUUGCUGUUUUGACGUUACCAACAGAAUAAGCACCGGCUAACUUCGUG
RNAcentral lists this ribosomal RNA (483 nucleotides) under uncultured bacterium. RNAcentral's name for it is "partial 16S ribosomal RNA". It matches the Rfam family "Bacterial small subunit ribosomal RNA", at positions 30 to 507 of the family's 1533-position model. The record is from RNAcentral.